GUGGGUGGGUGGGUGGCAGGUGGAGUAAAAACGAAAUGUCGUUUUCCUCUUCGUCAUUUUGCUGCAACCCAAAUUUCAACGAAGACAGUAUGUGGGUUUGGAAAGAGAAGAAAGGAGCAGGGCUAUACAUACAUGGGACUUAGUAGGGUUAGCAGGUAGGAUAAUUAGGAGGAAGAAGAAGAAGGAGGAGGAGGGAAGGAGGGAGGCUUAG
Molecule: long non-coding RNA, 211 nt
Filed under: Ricinus communis (castor bean)
Lineage: Eukaryota; Viridiplantae; Streptophyta; Magnoliopsida; Malpighiales; Euphorbiaceae
Description: long non-coding RNA (RCOM_LNC003243)
Source: RNAcentral